UAAUGGCUGUUCCUCUCACUGCUUGGAGCCUUAGGUAAUAGGAUUUUAGUCCAUCAUCUAUCUAAGCUGACUUGUCUUCACUCAGGGCACCAUGGGGAUGGGUUGCUGUCCCUGUUAGUGCCUCUGAUUUUAUAGAGUCAAACAACU
RNAcentral lists this small nucleolar RNA (147 nucleotides) under Catagonus wagneri (Chacoan peccary). Its description in RNAcentral is "Small nucleolar RNA SNORA79 (ENSCWAG00000007642.1)". It matches the Rfam family "Small nucleolar RNA SNORA79". From Rfam's summary of the family: ACA65 (SNORA79) is a member of the H/ACA class of snoRNAs that guide the sites of modification of uridines to pseudouridines. This snoRNA was identified by computational screening and its expression in mouse experimentally verified by Northern blot and primer extension analysis. The record is from Rfam by way of RNAcentral. Lineage: Eukaryota; Metazoa; Chordata; Mammalia; Artiodactyla; Tayassuidae.